GAUGAAGAACGCAGCGAAAUGCGAUAAGUAAUGUGAAUUGCAGAAUUCAGUGAAUCAUCGAAUCUUUGAACGCACAUUGCGCCCGCCAGUAUUCUGGCGGGCAUGCCUGUCUGAGCGUCAUUUCAACCCUCAAGCAACUUCUGCUUGGUGUUGGGGAUCGGCCGUCAAACGCCGCCCCCGAAAUCUAUUGGCGAUCUCGCUGUAGCUUCCUAUGCGUAGUAGUAACAUCUCGCAUCUGGAGAGCGGCGCGGUCAUGCCGUAAAACACCCAACUUCUCAGGUUGACCUCAGAUCAGGUAGGAAUACCCGCUGAACUUAAGCAUAUCAAAUAAGCGGAGGA
Molecule: unclassified non-coding RNA, 339 nt
Filed under: soil metagenome
Description: partial contains 5.8S ribosomal RNA, internal transcribed spacer 2, and large subunit ribosomal RNA
Rfam family: 5.8S ribosomal RNA (bases 1-120)
Source: RNAcentral